CGGGGGGGGGCAAGCGUUGUUCGGAAUUACUGGGCGUAAAGGGCUCGUAGGCGGCCAACUAAGUCAGACGUGAAAUCCCUCGGCUUAACCGGGGAACUGCGUCUGAUACUGGAUGGCUUGAGUUUGGGAGAGGGAUGCGGAAUUCCAGGUGUAGCGGUGAAAUGCGUAGAUAUCUGGAGGAACACCGGUGGCGAAGGCGGCAUCCUGGACCAACACUGACGCUGAGGAGCGAAAGCCAGGGGGGCAAACGGGAUUAGAUACCCCGGUAGUCCUGGCCCUAAACGAUGAAUGCUUGGUGUGACGGGUAUCGAUCCCUGUCGUGCCGAAGCUAACGCAUUAAGCAUUCCGCCUGGGGAGUACGGUCGCAAGGCUG
This 373-nucleotide ribosomal RNA is filed under the name uncultured organism. RNAcentral's name for it is "bacterial SSU rRNA". It matches the Rfam family "Bacterial small subunit ribosomal RNA", at positions 525 to 896 of the family's 1533-position model. The record is from RNAcentral.